UACGGAGGGUGCAAACGUUGUUCGGAAUCACUGGGCAUAAAGAGCACGUAGGCUGCGCGCUAAGUCAGGUGUGAAAUCCCCCGGCUCAACCGGGGAACUGCACCUGAUACUGGCGUGCUCGAGGACGGUAGGGGUGAGUGGAACUCCAGGUGGAGCGGUGAAAUGCGUAGAUAUCUGGAGGAACACCGGUGGCGAAAGCGGCUCAUUGGACCGUCUCUGACGCUGAGGUGCGAAAGCUAGGGUAGCAAACGGG
Molecule: ribosomal RNA, 253 nt
Filed under: uncultured bacterium
Lineage: Bacteria
Description: partial 16S ribosomal RNA
Rfam family: Bacterial small subunit ribosomal RNA
Source: RNAcentral